UCUGUAUCUUGCCCCGCCUCAGAAACUGGCUGUUCUGUGAGGGAAAGAAUCAUUCUGCUGACCAUGUUAUAUCGCUUCGUAAUUUAGAUUAGAUGCGUGAGAUGCCGGAAACAAUCUCUAGUGUGCUUGUGGUUUUACGAGUUCAGGUUCCAUUGCAAGAUGCGUAUGUUGAACUGCAAACAUGCACUUUUUACGUGAGGAACGUUUUGAAAAAAUCUAUCGAAAGGUUCGGAGUUUUCCUGUGAGAAGAUGUUCCGGGAAGGUGGACAAGCUACACUGACGUCACGUGCCGACUCCUUUUUUCUCAAGCAUGUCUUUGCGAAUGGUUUAUUUCUUGUAGUGUCAAGAGUUCUGUGAAUCCAUUCAGGUUUCUCUUUUGUAGUGACAACCCGCUCCUGCGCGGGGGCUCAGCCAAGCCCCUGGCGUAGCGCCCAGUUGUCAAACGACAUGAAAUACGGUUCAAGACCUUGGCUAAAAACAAUCAAGGUUACGGUCAAAAUGUCGAUGCCAAAUGGAAGUGUUCUUGUGUGCGUCCAGAUGACGGGAAAGUAAUCAUGGUGCAGCUGGUGGUUUCCGGUAUGCCGCUACGGGAGAAUAGGUGCCGUCACUGAACCUACGUGAGAACACAACGCGGAAGCCAGUGUACGUUAGGUCGCUUUCAGGGCGGUUGUGAAAGGUACUGUCUAGCGCACAUUCUGGUUCUUUUCUAGGUAAUUUUCCGUGACCGCUCCCACUGCAGCCUCUAAGGAGUCAUACAGCGGUACGCUCGUGAAAUGAUCAUUCAUCGCGCCUUAAACAGAUCUGUGUCGUAGCGGGAGGCGGAAAACACUCUUUCACGUGAAGGAGCAUCACUGCUGUGUCUCCUGUGGUGCCCGCCGCCACAUUCCUGCGUCACGUAGACUCCUCGAGAAGUCUUGCAUCGUAGAUGUAGGCGUGCUGGAUGCAAGCACCUUCCUGUGUGAGGGCCAGAACAUCCCAGACGCGAAGGUCGCCUUUUAAUUACUUGCACGUGCAAUGAUACGAGGAAAAUUCUGGGCGUCUCUUCCGUUAUUCAUUUUGUAACUGAAUAAGAAUGUAUGAAGGCCGCGACCGCGCUUGCUUCUGAUGAUUCUUCCAGGCGCGUCUUCUUUGGCCAUGCAGAAACGUCGCACCUUUUUUCCGAUGAUAUUCAUCUUUCCCAUGGUCGCCUGCUUCCCUUCAUCAGGAGCUCAUCGUUCAAUUCCUCUUGGGGUCAAGAUACAUUGUCUGCGUGUGUAGGUGAGGGUAACCCGUAGCUGUUGGCGAAUGCCGCCAUUGUAGAGUGAUACAUGACAAGUAUGUCACUAGGAGUGCUACUGGCUGGAGCGUGGCCGUCAAGUUAGUGUACGUGUCAGAGUCUAUUGACUGUAUAAGUUUUCUCACCGCAUAUGCGUUUGUCUAUUGCCAAUUCAAUUAGGGCGAUGACGACAGUCGCACCUGAGGGGUACAACUGUACCGACACUGCUCAUGUCAAGUGACGCCGCUUAUUCGCUUGGUUGUGCACUGGUGAGGCAGCCCUACCGGCACAUGAGCUGUCUUGCUUUACAGAUUAUUUCUGUGUGUAAUCGGCCCAGCUAUUAGCUAGGUUCAGCAGAGGCGGAAACCAUCAAGAGUAUACUAGAAACGAGUCGACAAAGCGAUGGAUACUCCUGUGAAGAAACACACCCGUCCCAUACAUGCAGUAACUACUGAUGUGACGCGGUAGCCGCGCAUUCCAGAAAUGGUUUACUUGAGGUCUGUAUCCUCCUCUGCAUGGCCGUUGACUUCUUUCGUUUCGUCAAUUCGGGUAGUCGACAAGUCAGCGUAAAUCGGUUUAUACGAGUGAAAACGUGACACGAGAUAGAAGCAACGACUUCGUUUGUCUCUGCAUACAUAACAGUAGGGGCACACCAGGGAGGGAUGUCCCAAGACCGGCUCUGUCACUGAGACAUUAGGAUUCCAUCUGACAACGUGCACCAUCACCGAUUCCUUAUCCUUGUUUCGCUCACGGCAUAUAGUGUCAUUCCAGAACAAAUGUAGAUUUCGAGAAAAAGAACAGACAGGCUUGCUUCUAGUUCAAGCUUUAAAGAGCAACUGCGGCUGUCGACUAAUACAUCUACGUAUGUAUUUCAGACGCGUCAUUUGAGGGCGCCACUGCGUCUGCUGCCAGAGGCGCUCUCGACCAGCUUGUGGGCAAGUGUUUUGUUUUAACUGUCGGUAUGUGUCCGUGUAACGCGGGUAAGCAGCCUGUAUACUCGGUGAUCUUACUUCUUUACACUGGUAUAACUCAAGUGGAAUGAACAGAGACAUUAUGUAGUGGGAUGGCUAUCACUGCAGGGCAAGUUCUUUCGUAUUUACGCAGUUCUCCAAAAGAAACCCUACUGCACAGAACUAUUCAGUCUCAUGAUUAAAUGGUCAAUCUAUAUUAAUGAGGUCGGUGAAAUCAUAUUACCGAUCGAGAGCAAAUACACGGUUCAGCAGCACCCACCACACACGUCGCAAUACGUCUCAGUAUUAUCCCUACAGUUCGGAUUGUUGUAGAGUGGCUACUGUUGCGACAGAAAUGUGUGCAAACAAGAUAAACACACUGUUUUUCAGCGAAACGCGCCACGAGGAAAAGGACCUAGUUUAGGGCGCGUUGUAACACAAAAGGAUGGGUUGCUUCAGCACACUCAAAAGGGAUGGGAAAUUCAUCUAGCAAGAUGCCGCGAAAGCACGACAUUAAACACUGUGCCAACUGUAGAGGAAGACGAGCUGGCUGUCUGUUUGGCUUGCUGCUUUGUCUUGAAAGAAUAUGAAUAACAAGGUAAAAUCUUCUCAGGGCGUUCAUACGUUCUAAAUUGGUCGAGGACAAGCGGAACUGUCAACCAGUCAAAAUCAACAGGAAGGCAGAUGUGUGAAAAAAUUUUGGCCAUCAUUGCUUCUGCCGAUUUUUUUCUGGUGGUACUUUGUGCCUGGGACCGCUUCCAAUUCAGAUGUUGCCGACCGGUACCUUGGCCAUCAGGUUCCCAAAUGUUACAAGCUCUUUUCCAAGUCCUAACGACAGAGAAAAGCUAUCUUUCAGCAAGGCGGGUAAGCUUUUGUUUGUCCUGGCUACUCGCCGACUUGUAGUGGAUGAUCCCUGCUCAUCUAUGUUCAUCACGGCUUGCCCUGUCGGCGUCGCCGUUGUGCGAUCAUGAACACUCUCCUGCAUCUUCACUGUCAAAUAUACAUUCGAAGAAGACAUAUUUUUUUCGGACAUCCUUGAGCUCUCCGAAUGAGCGGAAAGUUGCGGUUCUUCUCCGGUUGGUAUCACACUCCAGGGAGCAGAAAAAAAGUCAUCGAACGAGGGAAACGACGCAGCUGUUCUCGCCGCGGGAAGGAAUUGCCCACUAAACAGUGAGAAGGAACGCGGGGCCUCUUCUGUCCAUGAAUCUUCAUCAGCGACUCUGAUCGCUUCAACUCUGGACGUACCAAACGUCUCUUCAUGAAACGCAUUCACUUCCCCUGAUGUGGCAGAUGGCUGUCGAGUGGACAUCUCUUCUUCCGCCUCGAAAGGCGGUCUGGUUGAAGAUGGUCCCAUUCCAUCAGAAAAAAUAUUACUUCCUUCGUUUGCUACAGAUGAGUGAAACGAAGAAGAAUCCAGUUCCGAUGAGCGUGACCCCAGCACAAUCGUGCGUCGAUAAUCGGGGGCGACAAACGGUGGAUUCACCUCCCUCUGGAGAGAAUCUGUUUUGGGCAUCUUUGUUGGGUUCCCUCCAUUAUGGGCUUGAGGAGGGGCAAUUGCAGCAUUGAUUGAACUUUCGCGCGAAGACGCACGGACGGAUAGAACUGAUGGGGAUGCAGCUAAGGAAGGCGAUGUUCCUCUCACCAGCCCCGAUAGAAGGGCGGCUGGACCCACUAAAUCUACGCCUGACUUCACAUAGUCAUGUGUCCGCGAUGUGCUCCCGUCAGGCAUAGACCCAGUGGA
Molecule: long non-coding RNA, 3946 nt
Filed under: Toxoplasma gondii VEG
Lineage: Eukaryota; Apicomplexa; Conoidasida; Eucoccidiorida; Sarcocystidae
Source: RNAcentral